This 468-nucleotide ribosomal RNA is filed under the name uncultured bacterium. RNAcentral's name for it is "partial 16S ribosomal RNA". It matches the Rfam family "Bacterial small subunit ribosomal RNA", at positions 28 to 507 of the family's 1533-position model. The record is from RNAcentral.
GACGAACGCUGGCGGCGUGCUUAACACAUGCAAGUCGAACGGAAAGGCCCUGCUUUUGUGGGGUGCUCGAGUGGCGAACGGGUGAGUAACACGUGAGUAACCUGCCCUUGACUUUGGGAUAACUUCAGGAAACUGGGGCUAAUACCGGAUAGGAGCUCCUGCUGCAUGGUGGGGGUCGGACAGUUUCGGCGGUUGGGGAUGGACUCGCGGCUUAUCAGCUUGUUGGUGGGGUAGUGGCUUACCGAGGCUUUGACGGGUAGCCGGCCUGAGAGGGUGGCCGGCCACAUGGGGACUGAGAUACGGCCCAGACUCCUACGGGAGGCAGCAGUGGGGAAUAUUGCACAAUGGGCGGAAGCCUGAUGCAGCAACGCCGCGUGCGGGAUGACGGCCUUCGGGUUGUAAACCGCUUUCGCCUGUGACGAAGCGUGAGUGACGGUAAUGGGUAAAGAAGCACCGGCUAACUACGUG